AUGAAAAAUGAUCAAAGAAAUACAUGUACCAAAGUUACAUCUGUUAAGAUAAUGAUUAGGCAUACAAUUGCUUCUUCAAAUUAUUGCAAUAUUGUAGUUCUCUGUAGUCUAAUAAAUUAUGUACUGUGGUCCUCCGCCUCACCGCUUAACGGGAUGGAUCGGGCAACGUACGCCAAGGCGAGACCUGCCUCUCCUCUUAAGUUGAUUGGUUUCUCUUUCUGCAUUCCUUUUCUAUGGCCUCAUUUGGCAUUUCUCCUUCAUGAUUAUUAUGUUGUCCCUUUUGGGUUGUCAGAUGCUUUACCUCGGCAGCAUGAUGAGAUUCCUUGCUUUCUCCAUGUGAAUUUUCCAAAAAGCUUAUCUAUUUGA
This 366-nucleotide ribosomal RNA is filed under the name Triticum aestivum (bread wheat). RNAcentral's name for it is "partial small subunit ribosomal RNA". The record is from RNAcentral. Lineage: Eukaryota; Viridiplantae; Streptophyta; Magnoliopsida; Poales; Poaceae.